AUCUGGCUCUUUUCUUCCAUUGCUCCAUUGCGACCAUUGGAAGUUGAUCUCUAACUAAACAUACGUCUAGCUUUAUGGUUGUUACUACAAAUUCCUCACCCAGGGCUUGACUGUGACUUUCCUUUCUGCUGUUUGUGACACUUUUGGUUUACUUUAGGAAUGCUUUUCAUCCUUUUGAAAAAAGAGGACACAAGCGUUUGCGGAUUCUAGCUCAAAGGUAGUGUACUUUUGUAUCCAUAGUUAUGAUAAGAGUUCGAUGUUGACGUUUUUAGAAAUUGUAGGACAGAAUCAUGAAACCAUUUUUUUUUAUGUUUUACUUUCAUUAUUGUAUGUUACUUGCCAUUUAACUUGUUAACAUGUGACCUCCGUUUUCUUUUAUAUUGCUCUCAAUGUGGAUUGCGUUAUUAAUCAUUUGGUUUCUUAGUUGCUUGAAUGCUGGAAGGUGAAGGAAAUUAAUUACCAUUUAAUAAAUACUUUUUACUAGUAAAUACCGUGCACUGGUCACUAAUGAUUAUAGAUACAUACUACAUAAUCUGGUUUUAGUACAGUGGAGGAUAGAUCAGAGAGAGAUCCAAGUAGGGUUGUAGUCUGGUGAUGGCUUGGUCAAGCCAUGAUGGUUCAUGCAAUGAGAAGAGAAGUUCAUACAUCGGGUUGAACUGUGUUGGCUCGACUCAUAUGUGAUCUGCGUGUGACAAACACAUGGUAAGCCCCCAUUGCCAGAAAGACUGCAAAUGCUAAACCGCACACAAUGCCAGCAACCCCAGCAGCUCCGUAUCCUGUACCGCCAUUCUGUGAUGUAGAGUAUUUGCUCUCGUGUGCUUCUGUUGCUUGCACUUGAGCUGCCACAUGCAAUGGUGAGCAACUGGAUGUAACACAUGGGUCUUUGGAAAUGGGGUUUUGCGACGUUGGAUUGAAGAAAUCAUAUUGUGACGGUGAAAUUGCCGUUGGGUUUGCUCUGGCAAGGCCGUGGGGGGCUCUCUCAUCAGCAAAAGCAACGGAGAGAAGGGUCAGAGAAGAGAAGAAGAGAAAGAUGGAAACCCUUGAAGGCAUUUUUUCAGACUUGCUAAUGAAGUAGUAGUUGUAGUAGUUAGUGUUUUCCUAUGAUACUUGUGGGUGCUUUAGUGUGGCUUUUAUAAGAUCCUAGGAGGGAGUGGUGGUUGCUUGGACUAGAAUUUUGGUUAUGAAAAAGAGGUCCGGGAGGGAACAGAAUGAUGGUGGUGACAUGGUGGUGUACUCUAUUGAUCUUCCCCAUCCCCUAAUAAAAAUGUCUAAAUUCUAGAAAUACUUUUCAAGGUCAAUUUCGUUGCAUUUUUUUUUAGACUAAUCUAUCCGAGUUCUUGACCUAACUAAUCACUAGGUCCUCUGCUUGACCCAACAACACUUGGGGAGCGAGAAACUCUAGCAUUUGCUUGGUUGGUACCGUGGGAGAAAAUCGAAGCCCAUACCACUUGAGAGCAAACCAAGGACUUGACCGCUAGACCAACAACUCUUAGGUUUCCGAAGGCUUCCUUCUAUCUUUUAAGAGCAUCCCUAAUGAGAGAAGCCAAAUCUUUCGAAAUGAACGGUUUGGAUGUUUUGUUGGUAAGUUCUCCAAUGGACGAGAUGUAAAACACUUAUUGGCCGGACAAUGUAAGUAAAAAUAAAAAUGUCAUUCUUACCAUAUUUGUAUCAUCUCUUUAAUAGAAAUGAGACUCACAUGUGUUGGUGGGUCUUACUUCUACUAGAUGAAUGAUACAAAUAGAUGGUAAGUGUAACAUUACUCAAGUAAAAAUAUAAAUUCUUUUUUUUUU
This is a long non-coding RNA of Malus domestica (apple), 1790 nucleotides long. RefSeq lists it as uncharacterized. The record is from RefSeq and is a predicted model, not a curated record. NCBI's taxonomy places the organism in Eukaryota, Viridiplantae, Streptophyta, Magnoliopsida, Rosales, Rosaceae.